RNAcentral lists this long non-coding RNA (2647 nucleotides) under Equus asinus (donkey). RNAcentral describes it as "lncRNA (ENSEASG00005035359.1)". Lineage: Eukaryota; Metazoa; Chordata; Mammalia; Perissodactyla; Equidae. The record is from RNAcentral.
UGGCCCAGUGUCCUCUACCACCCGGCCCCAGAGUGACAUGGGGGGUGCCGAUGGCAAACCAAGACCCCCCGCCCAACCUUCAGCCACCCUCCAGCCUCUCGGAGAAAGGAACUUCUCAGAGAAAACAAAACAGCUGCCACCUGGCCUGGUUGAACCUGCUCGUGGCCUGGCCGCAGUGGCAGGGAGUUAGGGCUGACCCUUUCAGCUGGGGGCCUGGAGGAGCCGGUGAAGGGCCAGAGCCUGGGAUCGCAGCAGCCCCACAUCUGCGCGCCUGACUCACGGACUCUGACAUAGUGACGGUUUGUGCAGCUUGCUAAGGAGAGAGCACCCAGGCCUGUCCUCCAAGGGCCCCGUCUGAGGCCCCGUCUCAGAGGUGCGGCAGUAACAGGGUCCCUCUGGAGCCCCAGCCCCCAGGGGGGAGUCCCUGCCCCACCUACCAGUCUGUGGCCCGUGCACAGUUUCUCCUCCCUGAGUGUCACCGCUUCCUCGCCUGUGAGCUGGGAGGACUAAGUGACCAGCGUGGCUCGUUCCUGGCACCACAUACACUGCAGCCCUCAUUCUGGUUGUUCCCACAUCUUGGCUGUCGUGAAUAGUGCUACAGCAAACAUCAAACUAAAAAGCUUCCACCCAGCAAAGGAGACAAUCAACAGAGUGAAAAGGCAACUACAGAGUGGGAGAAGAUAUUUACCAACCAUGUGUCUGAUAAGGGGUAUAUAGCCAAAGUACAUAAGGAACUCCUACAACUCCACAGCAAAAAAUUGAAUAACUCAAUUGAAAAAUGGACUAAGGAGUUGAAUUUUUCCAAAGAAGACACACAAGUGGCCAACAGGUACAUGAAAAGAUGCUCAACGUCACUGAUCAUCAGGGAAAUGCAAAUCAAAACAUUAUACCUGUGAGGAUGGUUGUUACCAAAAAAACAAAGACAAGUGUUGGUGAGGAUGUAGAGAAAUUGAAACCCUCACACACUGUUGAUGGGGAUGCAAAAUGAUGCGGUCGCUAUGGAAGAUAGUAUGGAGGCUACUCAAGAAGUUAAAAGUUGACUACCAUAUGAUCCAGCCACCCCACUUCUGGGUAGUUAUCUGCAAGAGCUGAAACCAGGCUUUCUUUUGCAGUGGGCAGUACUCUCCUUCCCCAGGUGCCCACUGUCCAGAGGUCCCUGCCUUUCUCCUGCACUACCUGCCUCGGGCCUGGGGCCUUUGCUGGGGUGCUCAGGAGCUUCUGAGGGUGGGAUUAACAGGCACUGAAGCUCGGUCACCUCCACAACUUCUAAGUCGGGUUUCUCACCAACGAUGUGAAGAUUUCAUGGAACAAGGGGCCUCUGCCGCCACCUGCUGGGCACCUGGGGAAAGGGCUCUUACGCCCCAAGGAGCCCUUCCUGCUGUCUGGGCAUUUAUAAAUGCAUGCCAGCAAUAGCAAUAACAAUAGCUGUGAUUUAUUAAAUGAUUAUCAGACAUUGUACCAAGUGCUUUCAAGACACGAUGUCUUAAUCUCCAACAGCCUUGAAAUGUGGCUGCCUUAUCCUCAUGUAUUUAUAUAGAGAGAUGAGGAAGCAUGCUCAGCAAGAGAAAGAAUGGUCAACAUCACACAGCCAGCGACUGGCCAGUGGAUUCGAACCCAGGUCUGUCUGGCCCCAAACUGGGGCUGAGCAGCGUCCUGGAGAAAGGCAGAGAGGGAGCGAGAGGGUGGGCAGGAGAGGCUGGAGGGCCGUAGAAGGUUCUGGAAACUACUCCUGGUGCCCUUCCCGGGAAGGUCCACUCACAGCUACUCCCUCUCUGGAUGCCCAGGGCCUUGCUCUGAGUCCUCCUCAGCACAUCCUUCUGCCCACCUUGGGCGUGCACUCCCUCACCCAGCAUCACAGCUGGGGAAACUGAGGCUCCAGAGGUGGAGAAUCUAGACCAUGGAUUCCAGGGAGUGUGGGGCAGAGGGGAGACUGAGCCCAGGCCCUGAGCCCAGUGCUGGGGGGACCCAAGUGAACAACCUGAAACAGGGAAGGCGACCUGAGCCCAAGUUUCUGUCCACGUCAACUCCUCACGAUCCGGGGCCCACAGGGCAGGUGGGCAUAGGGGCUGGGAGACCCUCUGUGGGAUAGAUUCCCGGUGCGCACUCUGAAUGAUGGCCUUGCCACCGUCAAGGGCCCUGCCUGUCCGUCAGGAGGCCUCUCCAAGGGAGGGCCUGCCACGAUGUCGGAGCAGCACUCUUUUCUGGCUCUGCCACUUCCCAGCUCUGUGAUCUUGGGCAACUUCCUUCAGCUUUCCGAGCCUCAGUUUACCCUUCUGUAAAAUGGGACUAAUCGCAGUCUCUACCUCUUCGAGCUGGAUUGGGAACCAAGUGACAACCCAUACGUAAAGCCCUGAGUGCUCAGGAAGCACUUGAUAAAUGGCAUCACUAGGGACCCCCACAGACACACACUAGCCAGGUCUCAAUGCCUCUGCCAGGCUGAGAAGCAGGCGUUGUGGGAUGCCUCUGCAGGGGAAACUGAGUCACUAGGUCAGGAAGUGCCUGGGCCUAGGCUUCAGCUUGAGUCACAGGCCUAAUGCUGGGAAACCUCCCUGCAGCCACCUCCAGAAAUGCUUCGUGCCUCUGUCUGGCGGCCUCAGAGCCUCCACCCCGUGUCACCAGCCAGGGGACCUUCCCCCAAGGAGCCCCC